AACGCACAUUGCGCCCGUCAGUAUUCUGAUGGGCAUGCCUGUUCGAGCGUCAUUUCAACCAUCAAGCCCUAGGCUUGUGUUGGGGCACUGCGGCUGCCGCAGGCCCCUAAAAGCAGUGGCGGACUCGCUGUCAUACCGAGCGCAGUAGCACAUCUCGCUCAGGGCGUGGCAGCGGGCACUGGCCGUAAAACAACUAAAACUUAAGGUUGACCUCGGAUCAGGUAGGAAUACCCGCUGAACUUAA
This 244-nucleotide unclassified non-coding RNA is filed under the name uncultured Sordariales. RNAcentral's name for it is "sequence contains 5.8S rRNA gene, ITS2, 28S rRNA gene". The record is from RNAcentral. Lineage: Eukaryota; Fungi; Ascomycota; Sordariomycetes; Sordariales.